CAUCGCUUGACAAUCGAUGCUGGUGUGUUUAUGUCCCCAUCACUUAGCGGUUCGACAAAAGAGACCGAUAGAAUAAGUACUGGGCUUACAAAGAAUAAGUCCCGGGGUCGAGUUCACUGAGGUGUAACCUACCAUGACCACUGCCAUUGUGCUGCAUUGCUGUCUACCAGGCUAUGGGCUGGCACACUAUAGAAACAUUGCUUCUCAGCAAUGAAGGCGGCGAGCUGUCAGAAUCGUUAGCACACCGGGCAAAACGCUUAUCGGUAUUUCGUCUGCCGCUGCGUUCUGAGUUCAAAUUCCGCCGAGGUCGACUUCGCUUUUCAUCCUUUCGGGGUCGAUUAAAUAAGUACCAGUUACACACUGGGGUCAAUGUAAUCGACUUAAUCCCUUUGUCUGUCCUUGUUUGUCCUCUCUGUAUUUAGCCCCUUGUGGGCAAUAAAGAAAUAAGAAACAUUGCUUCUCAGGUCAAGUAUAAAUGAGUAUAUCUUUAAUAAAAGACUAUCCAACUGUGACCAUCUUGUCUUAGCUAUAGCUAAGACUUCAACCUAAAUAUAUUACUGCAAGCAGAAGUCUUCCUUGAAGCACCUGCAAUCAUGUCAUCUUAAGUUCAAUUCUCUGCUUGGCAUUUUUAAAGAAAUGUCUUUUACCAUAAAUUUUGGGUCAGCCCAAGCUAUGCAAAUGAAAUAGAGUUGAUGGAAACUAUGAGGAAUCCCAUUGGAUGGAUUGUAGCCUGUGAUACUAAGGGCCUUGUGCCUGUGAAAUUCUCUGCCACUUACAUGUUAAUUUAAUGCAUAAAUAAUCCCAAAUAAGGGUCAUUGCAAAAACUGACUGUAGAACCAUCAACAUCAAAACCAAAAUGGUUAUAGGUCCUCAGAACAAUGGCAAGUUGAACUAAAGAUAUGAUUUGAUGAAGCACAAAGCUGAAAUUAAUAUGUAUAUAAUUAUCUAAGGUAGCGAGCUGGCAGAAUCAUUAGCAUGCUGGGUAAAUUGCUAAGCAGCAUUUUGUCUGUCUUUACGUUCUGAGUUCAAAUUCCACUGAGGUUGACUUUGCUUCUCGUCCUUUUAGGGUCAAUAAAAUAAGUACCAGUUAAGCACUAGAGUUGAUUUACCCCCUCCCUGAAAUUGCUGGCCGUGUGCCAAAAUUUGAUGCCAAUAUGUAUAUAACUAUUGGUUUACGAAUACAAUUAAUUAGAUGAAAGAAAAUCCAGGCGCAGGAGUGGCUGUGUGGUAAGUAGCUUGCUUACCAACCACAUGGUCCCGGGUUCAGUCCCACUGCGUGGCAUCUUGGGCAAGUGUCUUCUGCUAUAGCCUCGGGCCGACCAAAGCCUUGUGAGUGGAUUUGGUGGACGGAAACUGAAAGAAGCCCGUCGUAUAUAUAUAUACAUGCGUGUUUGUGUGUCUGUGUUUGUCCCCCUAGCAUUGCUUGACAACCGAUGCUGGUAUGUUUAUGUCCCCGUUACUUAGCGGUUCGGCAAAAGAGACCGAUAGAAUAAGUACUGGGCUUACAAAGAAUAAGUCCCGGGGUCGAUUUGCUCGAUUAAAGGCGGUGCUCCAGCAUGGCUGCAGUCAAAUGACUGAAACAAGUAAAAGAGUAAUUAAUUUCAUUUAUCCAUUUUGCAAACACUAAGGUUAGUUUUUUUGUAGCUGAAUAAUAAUGGCCCUUUAGAAACCAUUCAACUAUGAAAUGGAAAAGGAAGAAUCCCUUGUUUUUUAAUGGGGUCGGGGUAGGUUUAUUCAGGUGGAUUCUAACAGACCAGGUUAUAUAUUUUAAUCUAGUAACAGUUGCAACAUAACAGUAGUGGUGGUAGAAAUGGUUGUGGUGUGGGUUGAACUCACUAUCUUGUGAUUAGAAGCCUAGAUUUUUUUACCUCACAGCCAUUGUGAGACACUGUGGCUGUGAGGUAAACUCAAUGCUGGGUUCAGUUGUCUAGAAAAUGAGAGAGAGAAUUUGACUGAAUGGUACCACAGUUUAUUACUGGUAUUUAAUUGACCAAGGCGGCGAACUGGCAGAAACAUUAGCACGCCGGGCAAAAUGCGUAGCCGUAUUUCGUCUGUCGUUACGUUCUGAGUUCAAAUUCCACCGAGGUCGACUUUGCCUUUCAUCCUUUCAGGGUCGAUAAAUUAAGCACUGGGGUCGAUGUAAUCGACUUAAUACCUAUGUCUGCCCUUGUUUGUCUCCUCUAUGUUUAGCCCCUUGUGGGUAAUAAAGAAAUAGGUAUUUAAUUGACCACCUGUGCAUGAAAUAGAGGAAUGAUAGAUGACCAGAAAUCAAUCAGUGAUGAAAUAAACAGACAUAUUGAACUGCCAGUUCAAUAUUGAUGUCAAUUCACUUCUUGAGAGAAAAAUAGAUAUUGAUUUUUUUGAUUAACUAAUUGACUGGAAACAAAACAAAAAUAUUUUAUUUUGAUCAUUAGUGGAAUAGGCCAUUAUUAUUGUAGUGGUAGUAAGAUGGUAAGUUGACAGAAUCGUUAGCACGCUGAAUGAAAUGCUUAACAAUAUUUCUCCACGGCAGCGAGCUGGCAGAACCGUUAGCAUGCCGGGCGAAAUGCGUAGCCGUAUUUCGUCUGACAUUACAUUCUGAGUUCAAAUUCCGCCGAGGUCGACUUUGCUUUACAUCCUUUCGGGGUCGAUAAAUUAAGUACCAGUUAUGCACUAGGGGUCGAUGUAAUCGACUUAAUCUGUUUGUCUGUCCUUGUUUGUCCCCUCUGUGUUUAGCCCCUUGUGGGUAGUAAAGAAAUAGGUAUUUCGUCUGCAGUUAUGUUCUGAGUUCAAAUUCCGCCAAGGUCGACUUUGCUUUUCAUCCUUUCGGGGUUGAUAAAUUAAGUAUCAGUUAUGCACUGGGGGGUCAAUGUAAUCGACUUAAUCCGUUUGUCUGUUCUUGUCUGUCCCCUCUGUGUUUAGCCCCUUGUGGGUAGUAAAGAAAUAGGUAUUUCGUCUGCAGUUACGUUCUAAGUUCAAAUUCCAUCAAGGUCGACUUUGGCCUUCAUCCUUUCGGGGUCGAUAAAUUAAGUACCAGUUACGCACUGGGGUCGAUGUAAUCGACUUAAUACCUAUGUUUGUCCCCUCUGUGUUUAGCCCCUUGUGGGUAAUAAAGAAAUAGGUAUUUCUCCUGUAGCUAUGUUCUGUGUUGAAAUUCCGCCAUGUUUGACUUUGCCUUUCAUCCUUUCAGGGUCGAUAAAAUAAGUACCAGUUGAAUACUGGGGUCGAUGUAAUCGACUCGUCCCCUCGUGGCAAAAUUUUAAACCAUGAUUAUUAUUAUUAUUAAUAGUAGUAGUAGUAGUAGUAGUAGUGAAUUGGUGGUGGUGAGCUAAAACUGUUAGAAUGCUUAGAGGCGUUUCAUCUGUUAUCACUUUAUAAAUUUAAAUUCCACCAAGGUCAACUUUACCUUUCAUCCUUUCAGGGUUGAUAAAAUAAGCACCAGUUAAAUUUGUUGGCCUUGUGCCAAAAUUUGAAACCAUCUUUAUUUACCGUAUAUCUAAUAUUAUCCACAUUUUUUCCCCAAAAUUUAAAUGUCAAAAUCCCUAGUGUGUACUAUAUACGAGGUUAAAACUGAAAAUUAUUUUCUAAGCAAUGUCCGAGUCUCUAUUUGCUGUCCGGCAAUGUUUAUUCAGACGCAUAUUUUUAUGUCGGGCGUGAAAAUACCUUAAGCUAAGCCUGAAAGCAAUGAAGUCAUAAAAGAAUUAUCCAUAACUUCCAGUAAGCAACAUUUAUUAAACAUUAUUACUGUUAUUUCUUUAUUUUCUGCAAACAAAAUGCACAAAAAAGCUACACGCUUGCAUUAUGUUAUAUGUACAAUAAUAAUAAAGGACAUUACCGUAUACGUUUUUACAAACCAAGGACGUUAUAUAGACCUCCUUGACUCAAGUUAGAGAAGGGGUGCAUAUUAUACACAAGGUUUAGGUUUUUCAGAGGUACAGCCCCCUAAAAAUCCCCUGCGUAUUAUACUCAAGGGUGGACUAUACUUGAAGAUUUACGGUAUAUAUUUUAAUAAAAACUGAAAGAAGAAAGAGGAGACGUGUCAAAGAGGUAAAAUGGUUGGGAACCAACGAUCUGUCGGAAAUAUUGAUAUAAAAUUUUGUAAAACUGGUUUAUUUUUAAUAAUUUGUUUUGAGAUUUUUGUUUUGAUUUUUAUUGAAGGAGAGAGAGAGAGCAACAGGGAGACAGAAAAUAUGAUUUUGGGGUUGUAAGUUAUGGAGAAAUACUCUUUUUAUGAGGAAAACUUGGUUAAUACCUUGUCUUAAUUUUAUGGAAAAAAAACCCUCAUUGAUCUCAGACUCUAUUUUUAUGAAGAAACCUGGUUAUCCUCUUGCUUUGUUUAGUAUUUUGAUACUUUUUUUUAACAAAGAAAAAAUCCUAAUUUUUCCUCAUCUUUUAUGAUUUAACUCCUUGGUUACCGCUUUGUUUUUUUGAUGCCAAAGCAACGAGAGGUAAAAGGAGGUAGCAAGAUAAAAAGAAUUCUUCAAAAUAACUUCAUGAAGUUUGUAUUUUGUUUUGUUUUGUUUUUAUUAAAAUUUAUACUGUUUUUAUUUUUUUUAAUCUACUUUAACCCUUUAGUAUUCACGGUAUUCUGUCAAAAGUAAUGCUUAUUUAUUCGCAUUGUUUUAAAUUAAUCCUGCAUCAUCUUGUAGCUUUGAGGUUUUGAUGAAGUAACUAUUCAUUUUUAGAAUUAUAUAGUCAGGCUGGUGUGAGAGGCCAGAUCGAGCCAAUUUGAACAUAAAACAAGGGGGGAUAUUUUGGCCGGAUACGGCCGGUUUGAAUGCUAAAGGGUUAAAUAAGUCCCAAGAGGCAGGACACGCAAAAAUAUGACCACCAAGACUUAUUAUUGUCACCUCUCUGUUACAAAUGCUUUUUCCAUGUGCAAGUUAAACUUGAAUCAUUCAAGAUGCUCUGACUGACCAUUCCAUCUUCUCUGCUGGCAUUUAAUAUUAGGUUGUCCCAAAAUUUUGUAAACACUUGCGAAGAUUGAAUUUUUACUCGCCAAGUACUAACAAAAACAACAAAAAUUAUUCCUCAAAAUAAAGACCAUUGUUUUCCAAGACUUUCUAUGAACUUUUGGGACAACCUUAUAAUUCAGAAUCAAUUCUGAAAAUAAAAUGGUAAAAUUUGAAGACUUGUCUGCUAAUUACAGCAAGUUACAUGAUCACAUAGACAGCUCCUUCAUAUAAAUAAUUCUAUGCUGUUGUUACUACUACUACUACAACCACCACAACUAUUUCUACUACAACUACCACCAUCACUACUACUACUACUACUGCUAUCAGUAGUAGAGAACUCCCCGACCUCUCUACAUUUCCAAACAUCCAUUCAGUAUCCAUGAGGAAGCAUUCAUGCAAUAUAAACAAACCUGCACAUAAAAAUAAUAAAUUAUUCACAUAUAGCCGCAGGAGUGGCUGUGUGGUAAGUAGCUUACUAACCAACCACAUGGUUCUGGGUUCAGUCCCACUGCGUGGCAUCUUGAGCAAGUGUCUUCUGCUAUAGCCCCGGGCCGACCAAUGCCUUGUGAGUGGUUUUGGUCGACGGAAACUGAAAGAAA
This 5533-nucleotide long non-coding RNA is filed under the name Octopus vulgaris (common octopus). The record is from RNAcentral. Lineage: Eukaryota; Metazoa; Mollusca; Cephalopoda; Octopoda; Octopodidae.